This is a long non-coding RNA of Panonychus citri (citrus red mite), 3451 nucleotides long. RefSeq lists it as uncharacterized. The transcript has 4 exons. NCBI's taxonomy places the organism in Eukaryota, Metazoa, Arthropoda, Arachnida, Trombidiformes, Tetranychidae. The record is from RefSeq and is a predicted model, not a curated record.
UUGGUUAAUUGAUUAAAACUAAUUCUUUUUAAUUAUGAUUAAUGAUUGGGAAACAUUUAAUUGUCUUUGAUUGUCAAUCAAAGUUGUCAUCAUGUGGAUCGUUUUAAUUGGUUUUCUUUUCUGUUCUUUUCUGUUUGAGUUUGGAUCUUUUUCUUUGAUGAGAAUGGUGAACAAGCUGAUGUAUAAUAUAGCCAGAGGGUGAUAAAACUCUGUGUUAAGAGGGAAAGAAGAGGAAUUUCAUCUUAUGUUGAUGGAGGAAAAGAAAUCUUUUCAAGUAUUUUUUUUUCGUUUUAUGUGUUUUCUCAUCUUCCAGAGUGAUUAUAUCAACAUGGAACAAUCAGAAGAAAAAGAUGAUGAUGAUGAUGAUGAGAGAUAGUAAAGAAGAAGAUGAUGUUUCAUUUCUCAGAGUUUGUCGAAUAUAAAAAAAGGCAGAUACUUGGCUGGUGAUAAGAAAACAACAAGGAAAACAACCUUCAAUUCAUCCUGAUGCCGAACUAAACAUUCAUCUUAUAUGAACGAUUCAUGGAGAGAGAGAGGGAAGAAAAAGAAAACCUGUUUCUGUUUAUCUUUACCAUGAAAUUUAGCCUCUUUCCCUCUGAACAAUCUGAGUGAAUGAUUCUUACCUAUUCUGAUGGACUCACAAGUUACCAAAUAUCCAAAAGGAAAAGCGGAUUCGUUUGCAGGGGGAAAGAAGACGGGUCUCUCUCUCUCUCUCUCUCUCUGGGCAAGAAACUACCUGAUCCUCGAUAAAUUCAUCCUAUUUGGAGAUGUCAAUCGUCAAUAAUUAUCUUACGGGAGAAAGAAAGAUGAAAGUACUUCGUAAGAACGAGAUAAUCAACUGAAAGAAAAAGUAAAGAAAAAAGAAAGAAAACCAAACGUAAUCACCAAGAAUAUAACGUUGUUAGUUAAUUUAUGGUUGGAUUGUUGCUGUUGUUAAGUCUUCAUAAUAUUACGAGAAAUUAACUAAUUGCCCUCUCAUCAAAAUACAAUGGAAAUGAAAGUCAAAUUAACUUGUUAUUUACAUCGUUUACUUAUGCUUCGUUGAUGUAAAAUCAACAUGCAAAUUAAGAAAUUUGGAAAAGCUAAUUGGAGGAAAUUUGAUUGUUUCGCUGAUCAUAACUUACAUCAUCCAACGUCUUCCAUCAUUUCUAACAUGCUGUUGAAAACGAUCAUUUGAAAAUGACGUGAAUUCUGUCAAUUGGAUAAAAAGUAUCACAAGUCUCUGGAACCACGAGCCUUACAUGCUCAUCAUAAGGGUGUUAUAUUGGUUUCUCUAUUGUUUCUCAUUUCUCCACCGCCUAAAGUACAUAAUCUAUUACACACCCAAUCAGAAUAUGGUGGAGUACAUACAAGGAGUAGGAGUAUAAAACAAUUGAAGAAAAGGAGUAAACAAAACACGAUAAAGAAAAGAACGAUAUUAUAAUUGAAACGAAAGAUUCUACUGGCGAAGAGGAAAAACAAAGAAAAGACGAAGAUACUAUGGAAAGAAUAGAAAAUUAGAGAAUCGUUUCUACUUCUUUUUCUUUAUAAUACAACAAUGUUGUUAGAAGAAUUAAUUUAUCACUUGAUUAAAGAGUGAAAAUGCAACCCGUGAAUCCACAGAGUGACCACCAAUGUACAAUCGCCACUACAUUCCCACUGACCAUUACUUUUCUCUCUCUCUCUUCCACCUUUCCCAGAAUUCAUGAUGGAAUACUUAAUGAUAACCUGCCGAGGAGAAAGAAUGAAUUUCUUUCUCACCUGUUGAUUGGAAAAGUUGAUGAAUCCAUUUUCUCAGAACCGAAAGUGUUAUGUAAUCAAAUCAGGGAAAGAGAUGGAAAUUGAAAGUCUACAAUUAAAUCUACACCAACAAAAGAUAUUCAAGUUAACAGGCCAAAAAGAAACAUUGGCUGAUCAAGAGAAAGAUGAACCAGAACCUGAAAAAGUUUCUUCUUUUCUGAUGACGUUUUUUUAUAUCUUCCAACAAGAAGAAGAAGAAGAGAAAAAGAAAAAAGCUCAAAUAAGUUAUGCGUCAAUAGAUAUUUGUGCUGUUAAUGUUGAUUAUUUUCUCUUCAUCAACAGUUGAGUCUCCAUGAUGAUAAUUAUGAUGAUAAUCUCGAAUAGGAUGGCUAACAGAGCUGCAAGAGAGAAAGUCUAACAUGAACAUAAUUGACUGAAUUUACAUGAACCAGGGGAAUGAAAAGAGGACAAUGAAUAAGAAAAAGAAGAUAGAUUAUUAAUUAUUCAGCCUAAAGAGGAAAAGGAAAAUAUUUUCAAGAUGAAGAAAAUGAUGAUAACUUUGUUUGCCUUUAUAAUAGAAUUGGAGAAAAACUGAAAACGUGUUGGAGGAUAAAAAGAAUAAUAAUUUUCCUCAAGGCCUAUUAAUAUUAGAACUGUCAGUCUACAAUAACAAUCAACAAGGUGGGAGCAGAUGAUGAUCAUCAGAUGAGAAGAAAACAAGCUUACAGAAAAUUUCAUCGGCCAUAUUUUUCGUUCAGAUUUGGUAACAAUGGUAAUCAGAUGAAACAAAAGGAUUGAAUGGAAAUCAGUGUGAAUAUAAAAAGAUCAUGAUGAUAAUACAAAUUUCACGAUUAAUUCAGCAAAUACAAUCUUCUAAUACCAUUGGAAUCAACAUUUUAAGUUUCUAUUAAUACAUUUUAUCCACAUCAACUUAAUCCAAUUGGAAUCAACUUCUAUCCUUUGUUAUAAUUGUUACCAAAGGGGUUUUUGAAUUGGUACUUGGUGAUUACUUUGCUCUCUCUCUCUCUCUCUUCCAUUGUAUUUCAAUCUCUCCCUCGUAUAAUUGUUCAAUGGACAUCAAUAGGACUCCUACAUGAUAAUUUCAUUUCAUUAUUUUCUGCUAAAUCAUCAACAUACUUCAAUUUUCAUUAUCAUUUUGCUUUUGUAAAAGGUUGAUUGUUAACACGCAAUGCUCUGGUAACUAAGCUAUUAUAUUCAUUAUCAAUGUUACCUAAUGUAUGAUGAUGAUGAUAAAAUGAUUAUCAUCAUUGAACUUCCCUUUCCCUUUCUAUUUCUCUGUCUCCAUGUAAAAAAAUGAGUGAUUACUUGAAAAAAAAAGAGUUGAAAUAAUAAUAGAAAGCUCAAUAACCUUGGAUUACCCUGUUAAAUAAUAACCCAAUCCAAUGGGGUUUUCUUAAAUUACUUUAAUUAUCAACAAUCAAUCUAAUCAAUUGUUUAAUAACAAGUCAAUUCCUAAUCAUCAAAACCAUUAAAUUGUUACUCUUUUAAUGUUUACAAACAAAUAUGAAAACAAUUUGCUACCAAUUCGCUGAUCGUAUUUGAAAAAUUAUGUAAUAACAUUCAGACAAUUAUAAUUGCUGACAAUUAACAUUAAUCAUGUAAUGAGUUAACCAUGAAAUCAGUUCAAUUCAUCAAUUGUUUAUUGCGGCUGAAAAAUACAAUCUAAUUGAUGAACAUCAAGAUCAAUCAUCAAUGAGAAACAAAAUGGAAU